CCGGGUGAUUUAAAACGUCCCGGGGCCCCCACUCACCACUAGCAGCACAGAGGAGCUGAGUGACUUCCUGCCUGCUCGCUCCACAUGGCUGCCGGCCCCUCCCUGUGGCCCUUGGGUGGGGUGGGUCUGUGUCUGUGUCUCUGUCU
Molecule: long non-coding RNA, 146 nt
Organism: Dermochelys coriacea (leatherback sea turtle)
Lineage: Eukaryota; Metazoa; Chordata; Testudines; Dermochelyidae
Exons: 3
Source: RefSeq, a predicted model, not a curated record